GACCUCAACUCAUGUGUGAC
Molecule: ribosomal RNA, 20 nt
Filed under: Culicoides variipennis
Lineage: Eukaryota; Metazoa; Arthropoda; Insecta; Diptera; Ceratopogonidae
Also listed under: 2 other names
Description: partial 28S ribosomal RNA
Source: RNAcentral